UGACCUCUAAUACAGUGAUAAAACAUUAAAAUGAAUACUUUAAUGUAUUUUAAAUGCAUGCAGGUUAUGUUUAUGUCUGUAUUUUGAUUGUAGAUCAGAAUGGAAAGAGAAGGAGUGUAAAAUGUACCUGUAUUUGACUUCAAUUAAAAAAUUAAAUAAUUAGCAUCAUCGUCACUAAGUCUUGCCGAAGUUCUCUUUUAUUUUAAAACUGUGAUAUGCAGAUGUGACAAUUUUCAAUGUGAACUUAUUUCAGGGACAGACCUUUUUUGAUGCAACUUUUAAUUAUAUAACUUUUGUAUCCUAUUGAAAUAUUUUUCUUGUUUUUGGGGACAAAUUGUUACCUAAGUGCAUUAAUGGGCUAACUACUACAGAAUUUAUUAGGAGUAAACCAGUUACUGCAGGAGUUAACCAGUUACUGCACUAAGUUGACAAUUUAUUAUAUGCAGUAUAGUAACAUGAGACACGUUAGACUUAUCUCUGUAGAUUUUUAUAGAUUUUUUUUUCUUCAUAAUUUUAGAUUUUAUUUUUAAAUUGACAUAAUGAAAUAGUGAUAUAAAUAAUGUUCAACUUUGAACUAAAACUAAAAGUUUUUUUUUCUUCUAUUUAUAUACAAAUGUAGCUAUUGUGAUCAUUUGGAGACCAAUUCAGUUGUCUGUUGUGAACAUAAUAAAUUUGUUAAAAAUUGCUAAAAUGACUCCAGCUUGUAAACAAAACAGCCAGAAGAGCUAGAAAUAGAAUAAUAAAGGACAUUUCAAAAAUUGCUAAAAUCAUUCCAGUUAGCUUAAUAUGAAGCGCACCAGAGCUAAGAAUAGAAAUACAUAUAAGUUUCAACCAACUUCUCAUCUGAUGUUGUUGAAACUUUACAGGAAUGAUCAUUUGGUAGUCUUUUACAAAAACAGAAAUCAAACUGACUGCCAAAUUUGAUAAAAUUCAAUAGGAAUUAUUCUUGGGGGAUACUUUAUAAAAAUUGGGUAAAUUAUUACAUUCUGUUAAAAAACAAAGCUGCCUAUGUGCUGAAUUGAAACCACAUCUACAACUCAAAAUUAAUGCUUGGCUGAUUUUGAUGAAACUUUAUAUGAAUGACCUAAUAAUGAAAUCUUGUCUUUGUAAACCAUAUCCUCAGGAAAGCGAUUAAGGGCCAUCAUGGCUCUCUUGUUUUCUGUUUAAAUAUAAUGAUACUUAAAGUUUAAUAAAUGUAAUUUUCAAUUUAGUUACAAAUUAGUUAUUGAAAUUAUUUUGACUUCAUACAGAUCAAUACCAGAAACUGUAACUUUUUGGAAAAGGAAUAUUUAUUGCAUUUAUGUUUAUAUUAAAUCUCAAUUUGAGGAAGACAGUAAUUUUUAUAUUAAUGCAUUGUUGUGUCAAUGACAACUUGCCUAUGCCCUCAUUAUCAAGUCAAAACAGCCUGUAUAUCCAUGUAAUGUUACGAGACUUUAUACUGGUGGCUGCAUAGGAUUCAAAUUUUCAACAUUGAACCCCUUCCAACUUCCAAAUUCAUCCCUUUAAAAAACUUUGGACACUUCCAAAUUCAAAGCAGGGUAAGAAUGACUAAUUAAUUAUACAAAUUUAUUGUUAUAGGUCAAGUAACCAAGUAAUUUGGAUAUGAUCUAUCACAUUUUAAAGAGAUACACAAGUGUGGUUAAAACCUAUAGUUUUCAUCUUUUCAUUUAUGACAUGAACCUAAAUAGACAUUGUACUACAUGUAUUAUAUAAAUAUUGUAAAUUUUUAAGCUCAUUUUAACCAUCUUUGCAUUGUAGAAAUUUCCAAGCAUGUGGAUACAAUUCCUUUUAGUCUUGCACAUUCCACCUUGCACAUUGCAAACUUUUAUUGUUCACAGAUGGUUAUUUAUAUACACCUCUCUAGUACUUUACAUGAUUGUACACAUUCAAUAUGGUGUUAUUCUUAGUAACACACAUAAUUGAUGAUUGCAGCUUGUUGUUGUUGUUUCCCUUGAUCCAGAUUGUUACGGUUUUAUGAAAAAUAAAAGUUUGAUAAAUUA
Ruditapes philippinarum (Manila clam) is the source of this 2000-nucleotide long non-coding RNA. RefSeq lists it as uncharacterized. The record is from RefSeq and is a predicted model, not a curated record. The transcript is spliced from 2 exons. Lineage: Eukaryota; Metazoa; Mollusca; Bivalvia; Venerida; Veneridae.